Molecule: transfer RNA, 68 nt
Filed under: Eucleoteuthis luminosa
Lineage: Eukaryota; Metazoa; Mollusca; Cephalopoda; Oegopsida; Ommastrephidae
Description: tRNA-Gln
Rfam family: tRNA
About the family: Transfer RNA (tRNA) molecules are approximately 80 nucleotides in length. Their secondary structure includes four short double-helical elements and three loops (D, anti-codon, and T loops). Further hydrogen bonds mediate the characteristic L-shaped molecular structure. tRNAs have two regions of fundamental functional importance: the anti-codon, which is responsible for specific mRNA codon recognition, and the 3' end, to which the tRNAs corresponding amino acid is attached (by aminoacyl-tRNA synthetases). tRNAs cope with the degeneracy of the genetic code in two manners: having more than one tRNA (with a specific anti-codon) for a particular amino acid; and 'wobble' base-pairing, i.e. permitting non-standard base-pairing at the 3rd anti-codon position.
Source: RNAcentral
UACAUUGUGGUGUAAGGGCACGUAAAUUUUUGGAUUUUAAGGAGAAGGUUCAUCACCUUUCGUUGUAA